GAAAUUUGUGGCACAUAUAGGAUGAGAACCUGUUUUUAAAACAUAUAGGUUCGAGCCGAGCGUAGCGAGAAAACAUCGGAGCCUGCGACGAUGGCCUGAAGGGCAAGCGCACAGCGCGCAGUAAUCCUAUACGACGCCCAA
Molecule: small RNA, 141 nt
Filed under: Amphritea atlantica
Lineage: Bacteria; Pseudomonadati; Pseudomonadota; Gammaproteobacteria; Oceanospirillales; Oceanospirillaceae
Description: RtT sRNA
Rfam family: RtT RNA
About the family: This family represents a bacterial cis-regulatory element known as RtT RNA. The exact function of RtT is unknown although it is thought that it may be involved in changing the cellular response in relation to amino acid starvation.
Source: RNAcentral